Ribosomal RNA from Cricetulus griseus (Chinese hamster), 119 nucleotides. Lineage: Eukaryota; Metazoa; Chordata; Mammalia; Rodentia; Cricetidae. The record is from Ensembl.
GUCUACUUCCAUACCACCCUGAAUGCUCCCGAUCUUGUCUGAUCUCCGAAGCUCAGCAGGGGCAGGCCUGGUUAGUACUUGGAUGGGAGACUAAGAAAUAGGAUGGUAAAAAGUUGUCA